RNAcentral lists this long non-coding RNA (689 nucleotides) under Prunus persica (peach). RNAcentral's name for it is "long non-coding RNA (PPER_LNC004253)". The record is from RNAcentral. Lineage: Eukaryota; Viridiplantae; Streptophyta; Magnoliopsida; Rosales; Rosaceae.
AAUAUUGAAGAAUUAAAGAUUGAUCUUCAAAGAACCGAAUUUGUGCAGGUAUAAGAAGCUUGGACAAAGGGACAAUCAACGAAGAGGUGGUCUCUAUAGGUUUCCAGUUUAUUAGCAAAAAAAACACAGGAAGAGUACAAGGAGGUAUUAAGAUGGAAUAUGCGGUCUUUAGUUCCUCUAAAAAGCAACAAAGAAACAAGAACUUAUAGCUCAAGUGGUUAAGAACAUUCACUCCUACACCCGUUGUCCAAAAUUUGAUUACCUUCACGCCCCAAUAUCACUUCCAACAAAGAAGUAUUUUCUUACUAUUACUCGCAAUCCAUCUAAUCGUUUUUUAAGCAGGGAUCAAUAGAGUUGAACAAAGAGCAUUGAUUUAAGUUGCUGGUACUUAAAAAGUCUCGAAGGGUAUGGAUAUAUAGGCGUGCUCUGUGUAUCCAUAGCAAUGGCAGAUUAACCAAUGUCUUAAGGAAUUGUUUUGAAGUAAUAGCUAAUAGCUAUAGCUGACCAAAUUCUUAUGAUACUUGCCUACUUCUUAUAUCUUGGCUGUAUCAUGAGAACAGGAGAUAUAUAAAUUAAAUGAGGUCACAUACGAAAGUUGCGAAAACCUCUCUAUCCAUAUCACAAAUGGUUCAUUAGGUUCUGAUGAUAUUGAUUCUGGUGUUGAACAUGAUGAGGAUUGUGGCACUGAU